CAAGUCAAGGGGGCCCAGCAAUGGGCAACCGGCGAACGGGUGCGUAACACGUGAGCAACCUACCGAACUGUGGGGGAUAGCCGGCCUAACGGCUGAGUAAUACCGCAUACGCUUUCAGUGAGGCAUUUCAUUGAAAGGAAACCUACGGGACAGAUCGAGGGGCUCGCGGCCUAUCAGCUAGUUGGCGAGGUAACGGCUCACCAAGGCGACGACGGGUAGCUGGUCUGAGAGGAUGGCCAGCCACAUUGGGACUGAGAUACGGCCCAGACUCCUACGGGAGGCAGCAGUGGGGAAUCUUGCGCAAUGGCCUAACGGCUGACGCAGCGACGCCGCGUGUGGGAUGAAGCUCCUCGGAGUGUAAACCACUGUUGCCCGGGACGAAUAGCUCGAUUAAUCGAGCCUGACGGUACCGGGUGAGGAAGCACCGGCUAACUCCGUGCCAGCAGCCGCGGUAAUACGGGGGGUGCGAGCGUUGUCCGGAAUCACUGGGCGUAAAGGGCGCGUAGGUGGUUUGAUAAGGGUGUGGUGAAAGUCCGGGGCUCAACUCCGGAUCUGCCGUGCCGACUGUCAAACUCGAGGGCUGUAGAGGCAGACGGAAUUCCGGGUGUAGCGGUGGAAUGCGUAGAGAUCCGGAGGAAGACCGGUGGCGAAGGCGGUCUGCUGGGCAGUUUCUGACACUGAGGCGCGACAGCGUGGGGAGCAAACAGGAUUAGAUACCCUGGUAGUCCACGCCGUAAACGAUGGGUACUAGGUGCCUGGGGGAGCGACCCUCUGGGUGCC
RNAcentral lists this ribosomal RNA (780 nucleotides) under uncultured Gemmatimonadota bacterium. RNAcentral's name for it is "bacterial SSU rRNA". It matches the Rfam family "Bacterial small subunit ribosomal RNA", at positions 58 to 847 of the family's 1533-position model. Lineage: Bacteria; Pseudomonadati; Gemmatimonadota. The record is from RNAcentral.